UAACCUUGCGGCCGUACUCCCCAGGCGGUCUACUUAAUGCGUUAGCUUGAGAGCCCAGUGUUCAAGACACCAAACUCCGAGUAGACAUCGUUUACGGCGUGGACUACCAGGGUAUCUAAUCCUGUUUGCUCCCCACGCUUUCGUGCCUGAGCGUCAGUCUUUGUCCAGGGGGCCGCCUUCGCCACCGGUAUUCCUCCAGAUCUCUACGCAUUUCACCGCUACACCUGGAAUUCUACCCCCCUCUACAAGACUCUAGUUCGCCAGUUCGAAAUGCAAUUCCCAGGUUGAGCCCGGGGCUUUCACAUCUCGCUUAACAAACCGCCUGCGCACGCUUUACGCCCAGUAAUUCCGAUUAACGCUCGGACCCUCCGUAUUACCGCGGCUGCUGGCACGGAGUUAGCCGGUCCUUCUUCUGUAGGUAACGUCACAGCAACAGCGUAUUAAGCUGCUACCUUUCCUCCCUACUGAAAGUGCUUUACAACCCGAAGGCCUUCUUCACACACGCGGCAUGGCUGCACCAGGGUUUCCCCCAUUGUGCAAUAUUCCCCA
Molecule: ribosomal RNA, 549 nt
Filed under: uncultured bacterium
Lineage: Bacteria
Description: partial 16S ribosomal RNA
Source: RNAcentral